Molecule: long non-coding RNA, 2771 nt
Organism: Amblyraja radiata (thorny skate)
Lineage: Eukaryota; Metazoa; Chordata; Chondrichthyes; Rajiformes; Rajidae
Exons: 2
Source: RefSeq, a predicted model, not a curated record
CAGAGAACCCGCCUCCAGGGCAGAGAAUUCCACAGACUCACCACUCUCUGUGAGAAAAAGUGUUUCCUCGUCUCCGUUCCAGUGAUGGAGCCAUCACUGUUCCUUUCAGUCCAGAGCUCAUUCCCUGUAGUGCCAUGGAAGUACCCUUACGAGGAUUGCAACAGUUCCGGGGAACAGCUCACUAGCCUGAACACAAGACACAGCCAGGUUAACCUUGAUAACCCAUCAUGCAAAGUACUUAUUCAGUAGAUAAUUACCAACAAAUAGGACCCACGAACAAAACACAAAAUGCUGGAGUAACUCAGCGAGUCAGGUAGCAUUUGUGGAGGGAAUGGAUUGGCAAACGGGAAAAGAGAGGUGGGGGCAGGACAAAGUUGAUGAAUUUGAAUUGCAGAUGAGAUUUAUGCUUAUGAAACAUGUAAGGAAUCAUUAGACGGCAUCUUUGAAUUCUUCCAAGUCAAAGCAUACAAGGAAGUUGCUGUAUUACCACCCAGUAGAGCACAAGGGAGGGGAAAGCUAAUCAACUAUAAAUUGUAAGUCACUAGCAGGUAGCAAAAGUAGCAAAGAAUCACCACAAAGUUAAUAACUGGAGGUCUUGAUAGAUACAUGGACAAUACUUUUCAGUAAAAUAAAACUUUAAUCCUCCAUGGAAAUUAUACGACACCAUGUUAAAAACUUAAACUAAGCACUUCUGUAAAAACCCUCAAAGGUAAAUUGAUAAACUAUGUGUAGUUUUAAACAGAAUUUAAUCUCGUAGACUAGUUUAGACCGAGUGAAAAAUCAUGUCCUCAGAUUUAAAGUUUAAAAGAGUAAAUUAAAAAAAAAAUUUAAAUGAAUAAGAGAACAAACUUGACUAAACACAUUUGUGUAUAGAAUAACAAUUGGGUCAAAUGUCCUACUUCUAUUCCACUGAUUCAUUAACUAAAUUGCUGUCCAAAUACUUCAGUUAGGCUUGGAAAACCAAAUUUGGAUAAGGAUUAAAAAAUAAGGAUUACAUGUGAUGGAGGUGAAUCAGCAUGGAAUUGUUAGGAAGGAAGAGUUAUAAAAGUUACAAUGACAUUCAGCGAUGUAUUCAUUUUCAUUCCAACAAAGGAGACUAGAAGUCAAAGGACAAUUCAGGUACCAGUUGAUUGGUAGUUGUUUAAAGAUGUGCUAACAAUUAUUUUAAAAUUGACCUGCUUACUGUGGAGUGCUAAUAAAUAGCUAUAGGUUUUAAAUAGACCAGGAUCAAGUAUACACACAGGCAAUGCGAUGAGAGAAAAACAAACCAUGAUGUUAAUCUCAAAACUGUUUUUAGUUUAGAUUUAUUUGGGUUUAAAAUUAACUCUGAUCCAUACCAAACACAGCCAGUCAAUGAAUUUGACUUCAGUUUUUUGUCUGUUCUAUCAACUUGACCUGAACCCAAGACAUAAUCUGAAGCAGGUCUGGUUAAGUGGCCAGUCUCAAUUCUUGGGAUUUAUGAAACAUUGGGGUCCCGGGAAGGAAUGAUAACAGCUGAGAAGGUUAUAAAUAAAAUUCAAGUGAAGAACCCAGUUCCUCAUGAUAUUAAAGCAUGAACUGGAGGGAACAAAAAAGACAAAGUGGAAACUUUAUGAAGUACAACAAAUCCCACUGAUAUUAAUUGAAAAAAAAUUACCUUUAAAGAUUGUUCCAAGAAAAUAGAUAGCUUGGAGAAAAGUGAACGAUUAAUGAAAAAAAUGAGGAAAUCCUCAUCUUUAAUGGUGCCAGGUUUCUUAGAGGGUAAAAUGUUCGGGUGUUGUGAAUGUCUUUCAGCCUCCAUCUAUAAUUUACUCUGACCUAAACAAAUUACAGGAAUUGUUUAAUACUAAAAUUAUCACAGACAUACCCUAUAGCUACAAGACGCCAGAAAGUUUGCUAAUAGUAUAGGAAAUUUUGACUGGUGUUAAACUGCCAUUUAGUGACAUGAUACCAUAUUUUCAAUAUUGUGUGAUAUUUCUAUGAAAUGUAUAUUAUUUUAUUUAACAUUUGACCAGUUCGUAUUUGUAUGCAUAACAAUCAAAUAUGUGUGUGAUGAGUCGAUGAACUGAUUUAGAAUAGUCAAGGUGUAAUCGAGUUAAAGAUAUUUUGCAACAUAUGCUGGAAGAAUGUUUCCUAGAAUGAGAAAAAAAGGCGAUUUCUAGCAAUUAUAGCAAAUCUUAUACUUAAAAGUAUUUUGAUUGAUAUUAGUACCAGAAAGAGGUAAUGCAAACUUGAUAGUGAUAGUUAACUAAUACAAUCAAGGAGAAUAAAAUCAAAUUCUUUGUCUCAGAAAAAAAUAAAUUGGGACAAUAAAAAAUAACUUGCAGAUUCCACUAAAGAUGGACAGAUUAGAUUGUCACUAAAUUAGAACUACCACUUCAAGAUUAAAGGUAUUAUUAUAUACCUUUAAUUAUUAUUAUAACUUUGAUUAUAAAAAGAUUUCACAUUGAACAAACAUUCAGCUUUGAUAAAAUAUUACAGUUAGAGUAUCAAUUUUAGGCUAAGCACAAGGAAGAAUUGAGUGUCACACAGCGGAACAGACAGAAGGUACAUUACAAACAAGCUUGAGAAGCACAAAUCAGAGUCUAAGGCAUUACACAGAAUGCUUUUACAUGGUUUUAACUACUAAAAUCCAUCCGAGAGCACAAAAUGGUUAUUACUCUGUACUGACAAAAGUUUGUAGCAUAUCAUUGUAAACUUGAAAAAUGAGAUUAAGAUUUGUGAUAGCUUGACAAAAUGUAUUAUCUUUGUAUUAAUGGAUGUGGCCAAAUAAAUAGUUAUGUGAUGUGCAA